RNAcentral lists this ribosomal RNA (1331 nucleotides) under uncultured bacterium. RNAcentral describes it as "bacterial SSU rRNA". It matches the Rfam family "Bacterial small subunit ribosomal RNA", at positions 21 to 1361 of the family's 1533-position model. The record is from RNAcentral.
GGCUCAGGAUAAACGCUGGCGGCGUGCUUAACACAUGCAAGUCGAACGAUGAUCCUCAGCUUGCUGGGGGGAUUAGUGGCGAACGGGUGAGUAACACGUGAGUAACCUGCCCUUGACUCUGGGAUAAGCCUGGGAAACUGGGUCUAAUACCGGAUAUGACUCCUCAUCGCAUGGUGGGGGGUGGAAAGCUUUUUGUGGUUUUGGAUGGACUCGCGGCCUAUCAGCUUGUUGGUGGGGGAAUGGCCUACCAAGGCGACGACGGGUAGCCGGCCUGAGAGGGUGACCGGCCACACUGGGACAGAGACACGGCCCAGACUCCUACGGAAGGCAGCAGUGGGGAAUAUUGCACAAUGGGCGCAAGCCUGAUGCAGCGACGCCGCGUGAGGGAUGACGGCCUUCGGGUUGUAAACCUCUUUCAGUAGGGAAGAAGCGAAAGUGACGGUACCUGCAGAAGAAGCGCCGGCUAACUACGUGCCAGCAGCCGCGGUAAUACGUAGGGCGCAAGCGUUAUCCGGAAUUAUUGGGCGUAAAGAGCUCGUAGGCGGUUUGUCGCGUCUGCCGUGAAAGUCCGGGGCUCAACUCCGGAUCUGCGGUGGGUACGGGCAGACUAGAGUGAUGUAGGGGAGACUGGAAUUCCUGGUGUAGCGGUGAAAUGCGCAGAUAUCAGGAGGAACACCGAUGGCGAAGGCAGGUCUCUGGGCAUUAACUGACGCUGAGGAGCGAAAGCAUGGGGAGCGAACAAAAUUAGAUACCCUGGUAGUCCACGCCGUAAACGUUGGGCACUAGGUGUGGGGGACAUUCCACGUUUUCCGCGCCGUAGCUAACGCAUCAAGUGCCCCGCCUGGGGAGUACGGCCGCAAGGCUAAAACUCAAAGGAAUUGACGGGGGCCCGCACAAGCGGCGGAGCAUGCGGAUUAAUUCGAUGCAACGCGAAGAACCUUACCAAGGCUUGACAUGAACUAGUAAGGCGCAGAGAUGCGUCCCCCACUCUGUGGCUGGUUUACAGGUGGUGCAUGGUUGUCGUCAGCUCGUGUCGUGAGAUGUUGGGUUAAGUCCCGCAACGAGCGCAACCCUCGUUCUAUGUUGCCAGCACGUGAUGGUGGGGACUCAUAGGAGACUGCCGGGGUCAACUCGGAGGAAGGUGGGGACGACGUCAAAUCAUCAUGCCCCUCAUGUCUUAGGCUUCACGCAUGCUACAAUGGCCGGUACAAAGGGCUGCGAUACUGUGAGGAGGAGCUAAUCCCAAAAAGCCGGUCUCAGUUCGGAGUGGGGUCUGCAACUCGACCCCACGAAGUCGGAGUCGCUAGUAAUCGCAGAUCAGCAACGGUGCG